This 782-nucleotide ribosomal RNA is filed under the name uncultured bacterium. RNAcentral's name for it is "bacterial SSU rRNA". It matches the Rfam family "Bacterial small subunit ribosomal RNA", at positions 13 to 777 of the family's 1533-position model. The record is from RNAcentral.
UUGAUCUGGCUCAGAACGAACGCUGGCGGCGUGCUUAAUACAUGCAAGUCGAGCGAGAAAUUCCGGCUUCGGUUGGAAAAGUAAAGUGGCGAACGGGUGAGUAACACGUGGAUAAUCUGCCCUUAAAUUUGGGAUAAACCCCCGAAAGGGAGUCUAAUACCAAAUAACACCAUUUAGUGGCAUCGCUUUAUGGUCAAAGGCGGGGCAACCUGUCGUUUAGGGAUGAGUCCGCGUUCCAUUAGCUUGUUGGUGAGGUAACGGCUCACCAAGGCUGCGAUGGAUAGCCGGCCUGAGAGGGUGAUCGGCCACACUGGGACUGAGAUACGGCCCAGACUCCUACGGGAGGCAGCAGUAGGGAAUAUUGCGCAAUGGACGAAAGUCUGACGCAGCAACGCCGCGUGGGUGAUGAAGCAUCUUGGUGCGUAAAACCCUGUCAGUGGGGAAGAACCGUACAGAGAGUAACUGCUCUGUGCCUGACGGUACCCACAGAGGAAGUCCCGGCUAACUCCGUGCCAGCAGCCGCGGUAAUACGGGGGGGACAAGCGUUGUUCGGAUUUACUGGGCGUAAAGGGCGCGUAGGUGGACCUUCAAGUCGGGUGUGAAAACUGGCGGCUUAACUGCCAGCCUGCACUCGAUACUGUCGGUCUUGAGUACAUGAGAGGAAAGCGGAAUUCCAGGUGUAGCGGUGAAAUGCGUAGAUAUCUGGAAGAACACCGGUAGCGAAGGCGGCUUUCUGGCGUGAUACUGACACUGAAGCGCGAAGGCUAGGGGAGCAAACAGGA